Non-coding RNA from Procavia capensis (Cape rock hyrax), 43 nucleotides. The record is from Rfam. Lineage: Eukaryota; Metazoa; Chordata; Mammalia; Hyracoidea; Procaviidae.
ACAUGGUGGUGGCUGGGGACAGCCCCAUGGCGGCGGUGGCUGG